RNAcentral lists this ribosomal RNA (428 nucleotides) under uncultured bacterium. RNAcentral's name for it is "bacterial SSU rRNA". It matches the Rfam family "Bacterial small subunit ribosomal RNA", at positions 28 to 448 of the family's 1533-position model. The record is from RNAcentral.
GACGAACGCUGGCGGCGUGCCUAAUACAUGCAAGUAGAACGCUGAAGGAGGAGCUUGCUCUUCUGGAUGAGUUGCGAACGGGUGAGUAACGCGUAGGUAACCUGCCUGGUAGCGGGGGAUAACUAUUGGAAACGAUAGCUAAUACCGCAUAACAUUGACUAUUGCAUGAUAGUCAAUUGAAAGGUGCAAAUGCACCACUACCAGAUGGACCUGCGUUGUAUUAGCUAGUUGGUGGGGUAACGGCUCACCAAGGCUACGAUACAUAGCCGACCUGAGAGGGUGAUCGGCCACACUGGGACUGAGACACGGCCCAGACUCCUACGGGAGGCAGCAGUAGGGAAUCUUCGGCAAUGGACGGAAGUCUGACCGAGCAACGCCGCGUGAGUGAAGAAGGUUUUCGGAUCGUAAAGCUCUGUUGUAAGAGAAGA